CCCUUUCUAUCUUUCCUCUCUCACGCUCCAAAUUUCUCUCCAAACCCCCCCUCCUCGCCAAAGAAGGCAAAAAAAAGAUAUUAAAUAUGAUUACUAUGCUCUUCUCUCUGACCCCUCUUCUCCCUCUCCCGCUUCUUCCGAAGAAGGAAGUGAGGGGGAGGUGGC
Molecule: non-coding RNA, 165 nt
Filed under: Paramoeba aestuarina
Lineage: Eukaryota; Discosea; Flabellinia; Dactylopodida; Paramoebidae
Source: RNAcentral